RNAcentral lists this ribosomal RNA (274 nucleotides) under uncultured bacterium. RNAcentral describes it as "partial 16S ribosomal RNA". It matches the Rfam family "Bacterial small subunit ribosomal RNA", at positions 523 to 796 of the family's 1533-position model. The record is from RNAcentral.
AUACGGAGGGUGCAAGCGUUAAUCGGAAUUACUGGGCGUAAAGCGCGCGUAGGCGGAUAUUUAAGUCUCAUGUGAAAGCCCUGGGCUCAACCUGGGAACUGCAUGGGAUACUGGGUAUCUAGAAUACAGUAGAGGGUAGUGGAAUUUCAGGUGUAGCGGUGAAAUGCGUAGAGAUCUGAAGGAACAUCAGUGGCGAAGGCGACUACCUGGACUGAUAUUGACGCUGAGGUGCGAAAGCGUGGGGAGCAAACGGGAUUAGAUACCCCAGUAGUCC